Molecule: long non-coding RNA, 256 nt
Organism: Diorhabda carinulata
Lineage: Eukaryota; Metazoa; Arthropoda; Insecta; Coleoptera; Chrysomelidae
Exons: 2
Source: RefSeq, a predicted model, not a curated record
UAAGUUUUCGAUCGCCCCCCAGGGGGCUAUAUCGCCCAGGCUGAGAAUCACUGGUCUAAAUCAAAAAGAUCAGGGUUAUUUAUGUGACCUUUAAUAAUUUCGAAUGGUGUGAAUUGUGUUACGGAGUGAAUUAUUAUAAAAAUUGUUAUAUGCCAAUAUUGAGUGUUUAAUUAAUUGAUCAGUUUUUUUCUUGCCGCGAAGUGAUAUAACAAUGAGUAUUAAUACAGAUAAGGCAUUUUUGGCAUUGACACUAGUA